ACACGUGGGCAACCUGCCCCUUAGACUGGGAUAACUCCGGGAAACCGGAGCUAAUACCGGAUAAUCCCUUUCUCCACCUGGAGAGAGGGUGAAAGAUGGCUUCGGCUAUCACUAGGGGAUGGGCCCGCGGCGCAUUAGCUAGUUGGUAAGGUAACGGCUUACCAAGGCAACGAUGCGUAGCCGACCUGAGAGGGUGAUCGGCCACACUGGGACUGAGACACGGCCCAGACUCCUACGGGAGGCAGCAGUAGGGAAUCUUCCGCAAUGGACGAAAGUCUGACGGAGCAACGCCGCGUGAGUGAGGAAGGCCUUCGGGUCGUAAAGCUCUGUUGUGAGGGAAGAAGCGGUACCGUUCGAAUAGGGCGGUACCUUGACGGUACCUCACCAGAAAGCCACGGCUAACUACGUGCCAGCAGCCGCGGUAAUACGUAGGUGGCAAGCGUUGUCCGGAAUUAUUGGGCGUAAAGCGCGCGCAGGCGGCUUCUUAAGUCUGAUGUGAAAUCUCGGGGCUCAACCCCGAGCGGCCAUUGGAAACUGGGGAGCUUGAGUGCAGAAGAGGAGAGUGGAAUUCCACGUGUAGCGGUGAAAUGCGUAGAGAUGUGGAGGAACACCAGUGGCGAAGGCGACUCUCUGGUCUGUAACUGACGCUGAGGCGCGAAA
This 660-nucleotide ribosomal RNA is filed under the name Bacillus sp. JSM 082080. RNAcentral describes it as "bacterial SSU rRNA". It matches the Rfam family "Bacterial small subunit ribosomal RNA", at positions 113 to 758 of the family's 1533-position model. Lineage: Bacteria; Bacillati; Bacillota; Bacilli; Caryophanales; Bacillaceae. The record is from RNAcentral.